CUACGGGAUGCUGCAGUCAAGAAUCUUCCCCAAUGGCCGCAAGGCUGAGGGAGCGACGCCGCGUGCAGGAAGAAACCCUUCGGGGUGUAAACUGCUUUUCUAGGGGAGAAAUUCGUGAUGUUACCCUAGGAAUAAGGGGCUGCUAACCUCGUGCCAGCAGCAGCGGUAAUACGAGGGCCCCAAGCGUUAUCCGGAUUCAUUGGGCGUAAAGAGUUCAUAGGCGGCUUAAUGGGUCUUUGGUUAAAUCCCGACGCUCAACGUCUGGACCGCCAAAGAAACUAUUGAGCUAGAGGGCGGGAGAGGCAGAUAGAACUGCCGGUGUAGCAGUAAAAUGCAUUAAUAUCGGCAGGAACAUUCAAUGCGAAGGCAUUCUGCUAGAACGCUCCUGACGCUAUACGAACGAAAGCGUGGGUAGCGAAUGGGAUUAGAUACCCGCGUAGUC
Molecule: ribosomal RNA, 442 nt
Filed under: uncultured bacterium
Lineage: Bacteria
Description: partial 16S ribosomal RNA
Rfam family: Bacterial small subunit ribosomal RNA
Source: RNAcentral